AUACUUAUCUGGCAGGGGAGAUGUCAAGAUCACAAAGGUGGUUUUCCAGGGCAAGGCUUAUCCAUAGCAUUACAGGUGUGCUGACCCCUGAGAUUUCCCCUAAUGUGGGAAACUCAACUGCAUAAUUUGCAGCAGUGGGGGACUGUGUUCAUGCUCUCCCCUG
This is a small nuclear RNA of Nannospalax galili (Upper Galilee mountains blind mole rat), 163 nucleotides long. Its record names the gene U1. It matches the Rfam family "U1 spliceosomal RNA". From Rfam's summary of the family: U1 is a small nuclear RNA (snRNA) component of the spliceosome (involved in pre-mRNA splicing). Its 5' end forms complementary base pairs with the 5' splice junction, thus defining the 5' donor site of an intron. The record is from Ensembl. Lineage: Eukaryota; Metazoa; Chordata; Mammalia; Rodentia; Spalacidae.